RNAcentral lists this long non-coding RNA (480 nucleotides) under Hordeum vulgare. Its description in RNAcentral is "long non-coding RNA (HVUL_LNC005789)". Lineage: Eukaryota; Viridiplantae; Streptophyta; Magnoliopsida; Poales; Poaceae. The record is from RNAcentral.
AGGUGGUUGGCGGUGCUCAUGGAGUCGGCGGGGAUCAGAAUCGAUGGUAAGCAAAUCGUUACAAACUGGAUAUUUCCCGUGAAUUGAAGAUUGAAGUCAGUAGUUCCGUGGUUUCAUUUUCAGUUGCCGACGGUGCAGGUGAGGUGUUCGAUAAAAUGCUCUUCCGGCCGAGCGGAGGGGUCGAUGGCGCCUUAGGCGGGGUCAAGCUGCAUCCUGCAUCGAGGUACAUUGCUCUAGGCCGGCCAGGGCCGGUCAUCAAAAUUACCAUUGCCUGUACACUGGGAACCUUCAGCGAGGCCUUCCACCGAACCCGGAUGGCACGGUGUGACCACUGACCUGACCAACAGUGGCCAAAGUUGGGCGCGAGUUUGAGUUUCCACAUAAAACACAAGGUUGUCGCAUCACUGAUUGUGUGCCACACUCGUUUCCCCUUCCUUUCCAAGUCAUAGACUUUUCCUUGCCCAAGAGACACGUUUGAGC